Non-coding RNA from Clonostachys rhizophaga, 64 nucleotides. Lineage: Eukaryota; Fungi; Ascomycota; Sordariomycetes; Hypocreales; Bionectriaceae. The record is from the annotation of a GenBank genome assembly.
AUUCGUUCAGGUUAGGAUUGUCGCCUUCCAAGCGAUAGGUUCGGGUUCAAUUCCCGACUGAACA